This 676-nucleotide ribosomal RNA is filed under the name uncultured Curvibacter sp. RNAcentral describes it as "bacterial SSU rRNA". It matches the Rfam family "Bacterial small subunit ribosomal RNA", at positions 94 to 764 of the family's 1533-position model. Lineage: Bacteria; Pseudomonadati; Pseudomonadota; Betaproteobacteria; Burkholderiales; Comamonadaceae. The record is from RNAcentral.
AGUGGCGAACGGGUGAGUAAAGUAUCGGAACGUGCCCAGUCGUGGGGGAUAACGUAGCGAAAGUUACGCUAAUACCGCAUACGAUCUAUGGAUGAAAGCGGGGGAUCGCAAGACCUCGCGCGAUUGGAGCGGCCGAUAUCAGAUUAGGUAGUUGGUGGGGUAAAGGCUCACCAAGCCGACGAUCUGCAGCUGGUCUGAGAGGACGACCAGCCACACUGGGACUGAGACACGGCCCAGACUCCUACGGGAGGCAGCAGUGGGGAAUUUUGGACAAUGGGCGCAAGCCUGAUCCAGCCACGCCGCGUGCAGGAUGAAGGCCUUCGGGUUGUAAACUGCUUUUGUACGGAACGAAAAGGUUUGGCCUAAUAAGCUGAGCUCAUGACGGUACCGUAAGAAUAAGCACCGGCUAACUACGUGCCAGCAGCCGCGGUAAUACGUAGGGUGCGAGCGUUAAUCGGAAUUACUGGGCGUAAAGCGUGCGCAGGCGGUUAUGUAAGACAGAUGUGAAAUCCCCGGGCUCAACCUGGGAACUGCAUUAGUGACUGCAUAGCUGGAGUACGGCAGAGGGGGGAUGGAAUUCCGCGUGUAGCAGUGAAAUGCAUAGAUAUGCGGAGGAACACCGGAUGGCGAAGGCAAUCCCCUGGGCCUGUACUGACGCUCAUGCACGAAAGCGUGG